CCAAAGGCAGUUUUUGCGUUGUCUGGAGGUGCUGGAGGGGUUUUGAUAUAGAAGUAACUCUCCUGAAUUCAUUUCAUCCUGAAGAGAUCUUGAGACCAAAUAUAAAAGGCCAAAAGCUUAUUCCAUCUGGAAGGUCAGAAUUCCUUCAGUUUUGACCAGAGGAUUAAGACAUCCCAGAGUCUUGCACUAAGGAGACAGGAAGCUCCCUACAAAUGUCUCCUGGGGACUGGUGUGUAUUUU
RNAcentral lists this long non-coding RNA (240 nucleotides) under Anser brachyrhynchus (Pink-footed goose). Its description in RNAcentral is "lncRNA (ENSABRG00000011934.1)". Lineage: Eukaryota; Metazoa; Chordata; Aves; Anseriformes; Anatidae. The record is from RNAcentral.